GGAAGGGGUGUAUUUAUUAGAUAAAAAACCAAUGCCCUUCGGGGCUUCUUGGUGAUUCAUGAUAACUUUACGGAUCGCAUGGCCUUGCGCCGGCGACGGUUCAUUCAAAUUUCUGCCCUAUCAACUUUCGAUGGUAAGGUAUUGGCUUACCAUGGUUUCAACGGGUAACGGGGAAUUAGGGUUCGAUUCCGGAGAGGGAGCCUGAGAAACGGCUACCACAUCCAAGGAAGGCAGCAGGCGCGCAAAUUACCAAUCCCGACACGGGGAGGUAGUGACAAUAAAUACUGAUACAGGGCUCUUUUGGGUCUUGUAAUUGGAAUGAGUACAAUUUAACCUCUUAACGAGGAACGAUUGGAGGGCAAGUCUGGUGCCAGCAGCCGCGGUAAUUCCGGCUCCAAUAGCGUAUAUUAAAGUUGUUGCAGUUAAAAAGCUCGUAGUUGAAACUUGGGUCUGGCUGGCAGGUCCGCCACACCGCGUGUACUUGUCCGGCCGGGCCUUCCUUCUGGAGAACCUCAUGCCCUUCACUGGGUGUGCUGGGGAACCAGGACUUUUAC
Molecule: ribosomal RNA, 554 nt
Filed under: uncultured fungus
Lineage: Eukaryota; Fungi
Description: SSU rRNA
Rfam family: Eukaryotic small subunit ribosomal RNA
Source: RNAcentral